AAUCUGUGUGACUGCGUACCUUUUGUAUAAUGGGUCAGCGACUUAUAUUCUGUAGCAAGGUUAACCGAAUAGGGGAGCCGAAGGGAAACCGAGUCUUAACUGGGCGUUAAGUUGCAGGGUAUAGACCCGAAACCCGGUGAUCUAGCCAUGGGCAGGUUGAAGGUUGGGUAACACUAACUGGAGGACCGAACCGACUAAUGUUGAAAAAUUAGCGGAUGACUUGUGGCUGGGGGUGAAAGGCCAAUCAAACCGGGAGAUAGCUGGUUCUCCCCGAAAGCUAUUUAGGUAGCGCCUCGUGAAUUCAUCUCCGGGGGUAGAGCACUGUUUCGGCAAGGGGGUCAUCCCGACUUACCAACCCGAUGCAAACUGCGAAUACCGGAGAAUGUUAUCACGGGAGACACACGGCGGGUGCUAACGUCCGUCGUGAAGAGGGAAACAACCCAGACCGCCAGCUAAGGUCCCAAAGUCAUGGUUAAGUGG
RNAcentral lists this ribosomal RNA (480 nucleotides) under Escherichia coli. RNAcentral's name for it is "partial 23S ribosomal RNA". It matches the Rfam family "Bacterial large subunit ribosomal RNA", at positions 586 to 1066 of the family's 2925-position model. Lineage: Bacteria; Pseudomonadati; Pseudomonadota; Gammaproteobacteria; Enterobacterales; Enterobacteriaceae. The record is from RNAcentral.